Molecule: ribosomal RNA, 514 nt
Filed under: uncultured bacterium
Lineage: Bacteria
Description: bacterial SSU rRNA
Rfam family: Bacterial small subunit ribosomal RNA
Source: RNAcentral
AACGAACGCUGGCGGCGUGGAUUAGGCAUGCAAGUCGAACGCGAAAGAGGGAGCAAUCCCUCAAGUAGAGUGGCGAACGGGUGAGUAACGCGUGAAGAACCUGCCUUCAACAGGGGGAUAACACUCCCAACGGGGUGCUAAUACCGCAUGAGACCACGGGUCCGCAUGGACCUGAGGUCAAAGGUGGCCUCUGCUUGCAAGCUACCGGUUGAAGAUGGCUUCGCGUCCCAUAGCUAGUUGGCGGUGUAAAAGACCACCAAGGCGACGAUGGGUAGCUGGUCUGAGAGGAUGGUCAGCCACACUGGGACUGAGAUACGGCCCAGACUCCUACGGGAGGCAGCAGUCGAGAGGCUUUGGCAAUGGGGAAACCCUGACCAAGCGACGCCGCGUGGAGGAUGAAGGCCCUUGGGUUGUAAACUCCUUUUGUCGGGGAAGAAAUGCGAUCAGGUAAACAAUCUGGUCGUUUGACGGUACCCGGCGAAUAAGCUCCGGCUAACUCCGUGCCAGCCGCCGC